UGGGUGGCUCAAACAACAAAAAUUUAUUGCUCACAGUUCGGGAGGCGGAAGUCUGAGGUCAGGAUG
Lutra lutra (Eurasian river otter) is the source of this 66-nucleotide long non-coding RNA. RefSeq lists it as uncharacterized. The record is from RefSeq and is a predicted model, not a curated record. Lineage: Eukaryota; Metazoa; Chordata; Mammalia; Carnivora; Mustelidae. The transcript is spliced from 3 exons.